RNAcentral lists this ribosomal RNA (745 nucleotides) under Seiridium aquaticum. RNAcentral describes it as "SSU rRNA". It matches the Rfam family "Eukaryotic small subunit ribosomal RNA", at positions 116 to 870 of the family's 1831-position model. The record is from RNAcentral. Lineage: Eukaryota; Fungi; Ascomycota; Sordariomycetes; Amphisphaeriales; Sporocadaceae.
UUUAUUUGAUAGUACCUUACUACUUGGAUAACCGUGGUAAUUCUAGAGCUAAUACAUGCUAAAAACCCCAACUCACGAAGGGGUGUAUUUAUUAGAUUAAAAACCAAUGCCCUUCGGGGCUCUUUGGUGAUUCAUAAUAACUUUUCGAAUCGCAUGGCCUUGCGCCGGCGAUGGUUCAUUCAAAUUUCUGCCCUAUCAACUUUCGAUGGCAGGGUCUUGGCCUGCCAUGGUUACAACGGGUAACGGAGGGUUAGGGCUCGACCCCGGAGAAGGAGCCUGAGAAACGGCUACUACAUCCAAGGAAGGCAGCAGGCGCGCAAAUUACCCAAUCCCGAUUCGGGGAGGUAGUGACAAUAAAUACUGAUACAGGGCUCUUUUGGGUCUUGUAAUUGGAAUGAGUACAAUUUAAAUCCCUUAACGAGGAACAAUUGGAGGGCAAGUCUGGUGCCAGCAGCCGCGGUAAUUCCAGCUCCAAUAGCGUAUAUUAAAGUUGUUGCAGUUAAAAAGCUCGUAGUUGAACCUUGGGCCUGGCUGGCCGGUCCGCCUCACCGCGUGCACUGGUUCGGCCGGGCCUUUCCCUCUGGGGAACCCUAUGGUCUUCACUGAUCGUAGCGGGGAACCAGGACUUUUACUGUGAAAAAAUUAGAGUGUUCAAAGCAGGCCUAUGCUCGAAUACAUUAGCAUGGAAUAAUAAAAUAGGACGUGUGGUUCUAUUUUGUUGGUUUCUAGGACCGCCGUAAUGAUU